AUUGAACGCUGGCGGCAUGCCUUACACAUGCAAGUCGAACGGCAGCGCGGGGCAACCUGGCGGCGAGUGGCGAACGGGUGAGUAAUAUAUCGGAACAUACCCUAGAGUGGGGAUAACGUAGCGAAAGUUACGCUAAUACCGCAUACGCACUAAGGUGGAAAGUGGGGGAUUCGCAAGAACCUCAUGCUCAUGGAGUGGCCGAUAUCUGAUUAGCUAGUUGGUGAGGUAAAGGCUCACCAAGGCGACGAUCAGUAGCUGGUUUGAGAGAACAACCAGCCACACUGGAACUGAGACACGGUCCAGACUCCUACGGGAGGCAGCAGUGGGGAAUUUUGGACAAUGGGGGCAACCCUGAUCCAGCAAUGCCGCGUGAGUGAAGAAGGCC
This 385-nucleotide ribosomal RNA is filed under the name uncultured bacterium. RNAcentral describes it as "bacterial SSU rRNA". It matches the Rfam family "Bacterial small subunit ribosomal RNA", at positions 30 to 416 of the family's 1533-position model. The record is from RNAcentral.